This 468-nucleotide ribosomal RNA is filed under the name Blastocystis sp. H-10. Its description in RNAcentral is "SSU rRNA". It matches the Rfam family "Eukaryotic small subunit ribosomal RNA", at positions 460 to 941 of the family's 1831-position model. Lineage: Eukaryota; Bigyra; Opalinata; Blastocystidae. The record is from RNAcentral. RNAcentral also lists the same sequence under 1 other name.
GGAGGUAGUGACAAUAAAUCACAAUGCGGGACUAUCAGUCUUGCAAUUGGAUUGAGAACAAUGUACAACUCUUAUCGAUAAGCCAUUGGAGGGCAAGUCUGGUGCCAGCAGCCGCGGUAAUUCCAGCUCCAAUAGCGUAUAUUAACGUUGUUGCAGUUAAAAAGCUCGUAGUUGAAGUGUGGGUGAUCGCUGUUGUGAGACUUCGGUCUCUCGACAGUAAGUCACCCCCUUCCAGUAUCCAGUAGUGGGUAUUCAGUUACUUACUAUUGUGUGUUGGUCCUUUACUGUGAGAAAAUUAGAGUGUUCAAAGCAGGCGUUUGCUUGAAUAGAUUAGCAUGGAAUAAUAAUUGAAGGCUUUCGUGUUCGAUUUGAUUGGUUUGUUCAUGGAAGCAAGGUUAAAAGGAACAGUUGGGGGUAUUCAUAUUCACUAGUUAGAGGUGAAAUUCUCGGAUUUAUGGAAGAUGAACA